GACGAACGCUGGCGGCGUGCUUAACACAUGCAAGUCGAACGGAAAGGCCCUGCUUUUGUGGGGUGCUCGAGUGGCGAACGGGUGAGUAACACGUGAGUAACCUGCCCUUGACUUUGGGAUAACUUCAGGAAACUGGGGCUAAUACCGGAUAGGAGCUCCUGCUGCAUGGUGGGGGUUGGAAAGUUUCGGCGGUUGGGGAUGGACUCGCGGCUUAUCAGCUUGUUGGUGGGGUAGUGGCUUACCAAGGCUUUGACGGGUAGCCGGCCUGAGAGGGUGACCGGCCACAUUGGGACUAAGGUACGGCCCAGACUCGAACGGGAGGCAGCAGUGGGGAAUCUUGCACAAUGGGCGGAAGCGUGAUGAAGCAACGCCGGGUGCGGGAUGACGGCCUGCGGGGUGUAAACCGCUUUCGCCUGUGACGCAGCGUGAGUGACGGUAAUGGGUAAAGAAGCACCGGCUAACUACGUG
RNAcentral lists this ribosomal RNA (468 nucleotides) under uncultured bacterium. Its description in RNAcentral is "partial 16S ribosomal RNA". It matches the Rfam family "Bacterial small subunit ribosomal RNA", at positions 28 to 507 of the family's 1533-position model. The record is from RNAcentral.